CGGCCCAAGUCCCAGUGUGAAGCCCAAAUAGAGCCUUAAUGGGCCGACCCAAUUGAGAAGAGAACCACACGGAUCGAUUAUAAAUAGUGAUCCUAACACGGCCGGUUCCACAUGGUCUGUUGCUGCCUCCCCGGUCUCAUCUCCAUCUCAACCUCGAACACGUCGAGUUUUCCGGCCUCCUUGCUUCCGAUCUCGCUUCAGAGAGGAGUUGGAGGAGGAGGAAUGGCUCACCGGGUGGAUCACGAAUGUGACUACCUAUUCAAGAUCGUGCUGAUCGGCGAUUCGGGGAAAGGGGAAAUCGAACAUCCUCGACAGUUCACGCGGAAUGAGUUCUGCUUGGAUGGAAUCCAAGUCCACCAUCGGCGCCGAAUUCGCCACUAGGACCCUCCAGGUGAUCAAUCGAUUGUCUCCCGUCCACUGCUUCUGUUCCUUGCUUUGAUCAACAUGACCUGACAUCCCCUUCAAACUCGAUUUUCACGCUCAAUUCAUGAUAUGUUUAUGGACUUGCAGUAAGCAACCAUGUAUUUUAUGAUUGCAAUUAUGGGACAGACAGAACUGCAUGCAUCAUUGCUUGCUGAUCUUUUGAUUGACUUCGAAUUUGAGACCA
Musa acuminata subsp. malaccensis (wild Malaysian banana) is the source of this 607-nucleotide non-coding RNA. NCBI's taxonomy places the organism in Eukaryota, Viridiplantae, Streptophyta, Magnoliopsida, Zingiberales, Musaceae. The record is from RefSeq and is a predicted model, not a curated record.